CCUACGGGAGGCAGCAGUGAGGAAUAUUGGUCAAUGGACGCAAGUCUGAACCAGCCAUGCCGCGUGCAGGAAGACGGCUCUAUGAGUUGUACACUGCUUUUGUACGAGGGUAAACGCAGAUACGCGUAUCUGUCUGAAAGUAUCGUACGAAUACGGAUCGGCUAACUCCGUGCCAGCAGCCGCGGUAAUACGGAGGAUUCAAGCGUUAUCCGGAUUUAUUGGGUUUAAAGGGUGCGUAGGCGGUCGGAUAAGUUAGAGGUGAAAUCCCGAGGCUCAACUUCGGAAUUGCCUCUGAUACUGUUCGGCUAGAGAGUAGUUGCGGUAGGCGGAAUGUAUGGUGUAGCGGUGAAAUGCUUAGAGAUCAUAUAGAACACCGAUUGCGAAGGCAGCUUACCAAGCUACUUCUGACGUUGAGGCACGAAAGCGUGGGGAGCAAACAGGAUUAGAUACCCGGGUAGUC
RNAcentral lists this ribosomal RNA (460 nucleotides) under uncultured bacterium. Its description in RNAcentral is "partial 16S ribosomal RNA". It matches the Rfam family "Bacterial small subunit ribosomal RNA", at positions 338 to 795 of the family's 1533-position model. The record is from RNAcentral.